Molecule: RNA transcript, 1350 nt
Organism: Populus trichocarpa (black cottonwood)
Lineage: Eukaryota; Viridiplantae; Streptophyta; Magnoliopsida; Malpighiales; Salicaceae
Gene name: universal stress protein PHOS32
Exons: 4
Source: RefSeq, a predicted model, not a curated record
CCUAGACCCCCGAACUUGUCACCCUCUCCCUUUUCUCUCCAAAACCAAAACACAAGACAAAGACAAAACCAAAAACAAAGUCCCAUCUCUCUCUCUAAGGAAUCAGAAACUUGUUAUAAAGCAAACGAAGAAAACAUCUAAACCUUAAAAUAAAAACACAUCAAACCUUAUCAGAAGCGAUGAAUCCUCAACAGCAACAACAAAAUCCAGUAGAUCCAGACCACCCACAACUCCCAACAAUCAAGAUCCACCACCCUUCUUCCCCACGCCACUCUCACCACCACUCCCACCUACACGCCGCCACUCCCACCGCUGGUGCCCGCCGCAAGAUCGGCGUCGCGGUUGACCUCUCCGAUGAAUCUGCCUACGCUGUCAGCUGGGCUGUCGACCACUACAUCCGUCCCGGGGAUGCUGUCAUUCUCCUCCACGUCAGCCCUACAUCCGUUCUCUUCGGUGCUGACUGGGGCCCGCUCCCACUCUCCACUCCAACGCAAUCGCAACUCGAUCUUUUGAACAAUACUAGCAAAUUUAAUAAUGAAAUUGACAGUAAAAAUGAGAGUAGUGAGAAGCCGCAGCAACAGAACGAGGACGAUGAGGAUGCUUUCACUGCGUCGAAAGCGGCCGAUCUUGCAAGGCCUUUAAAGGAAGCGCAGAUCCCGUAUAAGAUUCAUAUUGUGAAAGAUCAUGAUAUGAAGGAGAGGCUGUGUCUUGAAGUUGAGAGGUUAGGGUUGAGUGCGGUUAUUAUGGGGAGUAGAGGGUUUGGUGCGGAGAAAAGAGGGAGUGAUGAGAGAUUGGGUAGUGUAAGUGAUUAUUGUGUUCAUCACUGUGUAUGUCCAGUCGUGGUUGUUAGAUAUCCUGAGGAUAAGGAUGGCGGUGUGGCUGACCUGGAGGCGGUUGUUAAUGUGCCAGAGGAUGUGGAGGCUGCAGAGGGAAAACCUAAAGAGAAAAUAAAUAGCAGCAAGGUAUUGAUGGCAAUUGAUAAGGCUUAUCAAUGACAAUCAAGCACCGAAGUCCAUGUAUAAUGCUUGGUGAGAUGCCUAGUUUGAACUACCUUAUUGCGACUAGUUCAUCUACAUAGCAGAUAUAAUGGAGGUGAAGAAGCCGAGGAGUUAAUAAGAUGAUCUUGUUUGGGUCUUUACUGUUUUCCAAUAGACAGAUUGUAGAAGAAUGCUCUAAUCUCCCGUGUGACUCUUGUCCAAUGUUUCUCACAUUUGAAACUUGGGAGGAUUUGUAAUAUUUGUACGGCUGAUCAUUGAUGUGAGGUUUCUGGAUAUUCAUGUAGGCUUUUGGAAAUGUGUUUCAAUGGAUUGUAAUGUACAUCAUUUUGGUGUUGAAGAUUGCUUCUCCUUA